Molecule: RNA transcript, 6040 nt
Organism: Ipomoea triloba (trilobed morning glory)
Lineage: Eukaryota; Viridiplantae; Streptophyta; Magnoliopsida; Solanales; Convolvulaceae
Gene name: transcription initiation factor TFIID subunit 1
Exons: 23
Source: RefSeq, a predicted model, not a curated record
GUCACCAGGUUACACCUUCCAUUCUUCCCCGCGAAAUCAAAGACUUCACCGGAGCUUAGGAAGUCGCCGUCGGCGAGGGGUAAACUAGUGUUUCAUUCAUUCCCGACGGCUCUCUGGUUCCAAUUAUUGUGCCAGGUUUCUUGAGGAAACAUGGGAUAUGAAUCUGGUAGCGCAUCCCACGAUGGUCGUGAUGAAGAUGAUGAUGAUGAAUAUGAGGAGGCUGGUGGUGGCAACCAUCUUUUGGGAUUUAUGUUUGGAAAUGUUGACUACUCUGGGGAUCUUGAUGUUGAUUACCUUGAUGAGGAUGCAAAGGAGCAUCUUGCUGCAUUGGCUGACAAGCUUGGUACAUCCCUAACAGAUAUUGAUUUGUCUGUGAAAUCGCCACAAACACAUUCAGAUGCUGCUGAACAAGAUUAUGAUGACAAGGCGGAGGAUGCUGUGGACUAUGAGGAUAUUGAUGAGCAAUAUGAAGGCCCUGAAGUUCAAACUGCCACCGAGGAGGACCAUUUAUUGCCAAAGAAGGAUUAUUUCUCUAAAGAAAUUGCAGUAACUACUUUGAACAACACAGCCUCUGUUUUUGAUGAUGAAAACUAUGAUGAGGAUGAUACUGAAGAGAACAACGAGCAGGAUGUGUUGGGGAACAGCGCUGAAGGCCAAGCUUUUCCUGAAACAGGCAAGUACAAUCAUGAUUUCAAAGAAGCAUGUGAAGGGGAAAAACUUGCUAAAGAUGUUAUACCCUCAUAUUCUGAAGAGCUUGCAAAAGAUGUCCUGCCCCUGGAUUCUCCUGAAUCUGAGGAUUUUGCUGACUUUCAGGAGUCUCUUGCUCUUGAAGAGUCAUUUGAUGGUAAAAGCUCUAUGCCACUACCAAUUCUUUGUAUAGAAGAUGGAUUGCCUAUCCUACGGUUUUCUGAAAUUUUUGGCAUUCAUGAACCCCGAAAGAAGAAGACCGAGAAGAGGGACCACCGCUAUUCUGUUGCAAAAGAGAAGUACAACUUGGAUAGUUCUGAACUUCUUGAAGAUGAUGAAGAGGAUAUUUUAAGAGGAUCUUAUAAAGACUUUCCUUGGUUGAAGGUGGCAUGUGUAACUGAAGACAAUAUUUCAGAUGAUGAACUGGGAUCCUUUCAGGGGAAAGGAAGAAUAGGUGCAACUGCUGAUGACAGGAAAAAAGACUUUUGUUGUAGUGCUGAACCAAUGAAGUCAAAUAUGCCACAAAAUCUCUCUGCUGAUUGGAGUUCACCUUCUUGUCCCAAGUUCUAUCCUCUUGACCAACAGGAUUGGGAGGAUGGAAUUAUUUGGGGCAACUCUCCGGCUUCAAGUGCUGAGACUGCUGAGAGUUUUGAGACCUCUGGACCGAAUUUUGGAGCAUCUUUUGAUAAAGAAAUGGAUCUGGAGGCUGACUCAGGAACUUCGGAACUAGGAAUUGAAUCCAACGAAAAAGAUAAAAGUUCCUUUAUCCACCUUCAAUCUGUUUCUGUGGAGCCUUUUGGCUCACGAGAAAUUUCGGGUCAAAUGGACGUUCCUUUAUUAGCAGGAAGAUUUCAUCCUCAACUUUUGAGGUUAGAGUCUCGAUUGGAUGCAAAUCAGCAAGAUAACACUGAGGAUGGGGAAUAUAUUGCCCAAGAAAAAAUCUCUGAUGCCUUGAGGCGUUUCAGUGAGCUCACAUUGCUGAAUAAAGAUGUGGAGGAAGGAUCUUGGUUGGACAACAUUAUUUGGGAACCAGAACAAGCCAUAGCAAAACCAAAACUAAUUUAUGAUCUUCAAGACAAACAGAUGCUUUUUGAAAUUCUGGACAGUAAGGAUAGCACCAGUCUUCAGCUUCAUGCUGGUGCAAUGAUCACUACUGGUUUGGGGAAGCCCAAUGUGGGUGAUUCCGCUGAGUUACUUCAUGGAGGUCCUACAGGGCGUUUCAAUAUUGCCAAUGACAAAUUCUAUUCCAACAGAAAAUCUUCACAGCAAUCAAAAUCACAUUCAAAGAAGCGCACUGCUCAUGUUCUCAAAGUUCUGCAUUCAAUUCCAGCUCUUAAACUAGAGACUAUGAAGGCAAAGCUAAGCAAUAAAGAUCUUGCUAAUUUUCAUCGGCCUAAAGCUCUAUGGUAUCCCCAUGAUAAUGAAGUGGUGCUCAAGGGACAAUGGAAGCUGCCUACACAAGGACCCAUGAAAGUCAUAUUGAAGAGUUUGGGAGGCAAAGGAAGUAAACUUCAUGUGGAUUUUGAGGAGACUGUCUCUUCACUUAAGGCAAAAGCGUCAAAAAAGUUAGAUUUUAAACUCACUGAACCAGUAAAAAUAUUUUAUUUGGGGAGGGAGCUUGAAGACCAUAAAUCUCUUGCUGAACAAAAUGUUCAACCGAACUCCUUGCUACAUCUUCUUCGCUCAAAAAUAUAUUUGUUGCCUAGGGCACAAAAGCUUCCGGGUGAGAACAAGUCUUUGCGCCCUCCUGGGGCUUUUAAGAAGAAAUCUGAUCUUUCUGUGAAAGAUGGCCAUGUUUUCCUGAUGGAAUACUGUGAGGAGAGGCCUUUGCUCCUAGGAAAUGUUGGAAUGGGUGCAAGAUUAUGUACCUACUACCAAAAAUCAACUCCAAACGAUCAAACAGGUGUAUUGAUGCGCAAUGAAAACAACAGAUUGGGGAGUGUCCUCAUUCUUGAUCCUGCUGAUAAAUCACCUUUUCUUGGAGACAUAAAACCUGGUUGCAGCCAGUCUUCCCUUGAGACUAAUAUGUACCGAGCACCUAUAUUUCAGCAUAAAGUGUCAUCAACAGAUUAUCUAUUGGUCCGCACAGCAAAGGGAAAGCUGUCUAUCAGGCGCAUUGACAGGAUUGAUGUUGUUGGACAACAGGAGCCUCACAUGGAAGUCAUGUCUCCUGGAUCAAAAGGAGUCCAGACAUACAUUAUGAACAGACUAUCGGUAUACAUGUACCGUAAAUUUCAUGCUGAUGAGAAGCGUGGUGUGCGCCCUGUUAUCCACGCAGAUGAGUUGUCUGCACAAUUUCCUAGCUUGUCAGAGGCCUUCCUUAGGAAAAGGCUUAGAAAUUGUGCUGAUAUGCAGAGAGGAUCGAAUGGGCAGCUGAUUUGGGUUAUGAAGAACAGUUUUCGCAUUCCAUCAGAGGAGGAGUUACGGAGGAUGGUGACACCUGAAAAUGUCUGUGCAUAUGAAAGCAUGCAGGCUGGCCUUUACAGGCUCAAGCGCCUAGGUAUUACCCGGCUAACUCAACCUACAGGCCUUUCCUCUGCAAUGAAUCAGCUUCCAGAUGAAGCAAUUGCCUUAGCUGCUGCUUCACAUAUUGAGAGGGAACUGCAGAUAACACCUUGGAACUUGAGUAGCAACUUCGUUGCCUGUACAAACCAGGACAGAGGUAAUAUUGAACGUUUGGAAAUUACCGGGGUUGGAGAUCCUUCUGGACGAGGAUUAGGUUUCAGUUAUGUCCGCACUACUCCAAAGGCACCCGUAUCAAAUGCGGUGACAAAGAAAAAAGCAGCUCUUGCUAAAGGGACAACUGUUACUGGAACGGAUGCUGAUCUACGCAGACUGAGCAUGGAAGCUGCACGUGAGGUCCUCCUUAAGUUCAAUGUUCCAGAGGACCAGAUCGCUAAACAGACAAGGUGGCACAGAAUUGCCAUGAUUCGGAAACUGUCAAGCGAGCAAGCCGCUUCGGGUGUAAAGGUUGAUGCAACAACAAUAAGCAAGUAUGCUCGAGGUCAGCGUAUGUCCUUUUUGCAAUUGCAGCAGCAGACCAGAGAAAAAUGUCAGGAGAUCUGGGAUCGGCAGGUCCAAAAUCUUUCUGCAGUUGAUGGUGAAGAAAUUGAAAGCGAUGCCGAAGUAAAUAGUGACCUAGAUUCCUUUGCUGGAGACCUCGAAAAUCUUCUUGACGCAGAGGAAUGUGAAGAGGGCGAUGAGGGUGCUUGUGACUUAAAGCAUGACAAAAUAGAUGGUGUCAAGGGACUCAAGAUGAGAAGGCGCCCAUUUCAAGCUCAGCUGGAAGAGGAAAUCGAAGACGAGGCCGCUGAAGCUGCAGAACUGUGCAGGAUGCUCAUGGAUGAUGAGGAUGCCGAUCGAAAGAAGAAGAAAAAGGAAAAAUCUGUAGGGGAGCGAGUUGGGGCUCCAGAGGCACAACCACGGUUUGUUAUGGAAAAUACUGAACGUGGAAAGAAAACCACUGUGACUACUAAAGCAGUCAUCAAACCUGAUGUGUUGAAUGCAUUUAAGGAGGAUAUAGCUGGGGAUCAGAGUGAGGGCGAUGGUUUAGCUGCGAAAAGGAGCUUUUCUAGCAAGGUAAAACCAAAGAAAAAAACCGAUGUUGCUGAGAUGGGAUUACUCAAAAAGAAAGUUAAAAUACUGGCUGAUGGAAUUCAGAACGUCAAGGAGAAAAAGUCAGCACGAGAGAGUUUCGUCUGUGGAGCUUGUGGUCAGCUUGGCCAUAUGAGAACUAACAAGCAUUGUCCCAAGUAUGGGGAAGAUGUGGAACCACGACCCGAAAAUGCGGAUCCAGAAAAGGCGUCAGCAAAAGCUACCUUGUCAGAGCACGCAGAUCCGCCCCAGCAGAAGCCCCCGAUGAAGAAGAUCGUACAGAGAAGCGCAACAAAGAUUGCGGUGGUCGAGACUCAGGAGGACGAAAAGUCUAGCUCAAAGGCUAAAGUUCUGAAGUUCAAAUGCGGUUCGACUGACAAAUUGCCCGAUAAGCCCACCCCCGCCACCUCGCUGAGUUCUGAUAAACCGGUAAUGUCAGAUGGCGAAACCGGGUCCAAGUCUGUCGUGAAGCUCAAUAAGUUGAAGUUUUCUAACAGCAUGAAAUCCGAAGAGACUGCAGUCGAGUCACGCAAACCCUCCAUUCUAAUAAAACCGUUAGUCGAGGCUGGUGAUAAGCCACGCAAGAAGAUUGUGAUCAAACAAUCGAAGGACUCUUCUAACGCUGAGGAUGUAAGCCAGGAAGGUAGCAGCGGUUUCGAACAUAGGAAAAUGAAAAAAAUCGUCGAAUUGUCGUAUGCUGACAUGUAUACGGAUCAGGGAAGUUAUCAUUUCUCCGAAGAGGCAUCGAGGAGGAAAAGCAUGCAGGCUAAGCAGAGGCAAUGGGAAGAGGAAGAAAGGCGGAGAAUGGUGGAGAGAGAGAGAGAAGAAAGGAGGAUGUAUGAGCAACAGAAGGCAUUUGAAGAACAAGAGAGAUUAGCGGAAAUUAGAAGAUACGAAGAUAGUUUAAGGACAGAGAGAGAAGAAGAAGAACGCCAAAGGGCAAAAAAGAAGAAGAAACAAUUUCAGCCAAAACCCGAAAUCAGAAACGAUUACUUGGACGAUUUUCCUCCCAGGAAAACUGACAAAAGGAUCCUGGAUCGAGACAGACCAUCAAAACGAAGACCAGAUCCCGAGUUGGGGGGAAGGCAUGGCUUGGAGUACACGCCAUCCACAAAGCGUCGAAGACUGGGAGAGGUCGGCUUGUCAAAUAUCUUAGAGGGGAUCGUCGAGACUUUGAAGGGAAGGAAGGAGGUAUCGUUUCUCUUCUUGAAACCAGUGACCAAGAAAGAGGCUCCAGACUACCACAAAUAUGUAAAGCGCCCCAUGGAUCUCUCCACGAUUCGGGAGAAGGCAAGGAAGUUGGAGUACAAAAACCGCGACCAGUUCAGGCAUGACAUGGCGCAAAUCGCCAUCAAUGCACACCUGUACAACGAUAAUCGCAAUCCAGGUAUUCCUCCCCUCGCAGAUCAGCUUCUGGAGAUCUGCGACUUCCUGUUGGUGGAAAACGACGCCUUAUUGUCAGAAGCAGAAGCCAGUAUGGAUACUUAGAGUCUAACUUCAUUAACGCUCUCCCCUCUGAUCCCUAGUCCCAUUUUGCAAGGACAUGUUUUUCACCCCCCCCCCAAAAAAAAUGAAAAGGAAAAAAAGAUAUAUUUAAGAACCUGUCACACAAUAUUGAUAGCUUGUCUGUUGUAUAGAAUUUCCUCUUAGGCAAAAACGCACUUCUUUCCUAUUGAUGCUGCACCAUGCAUGCUCAAACAAAAUGUGAAAAGUGUUAAAAGUGAUUAGACUGAUUGUUCAUUUUGAACGACCUAAUUAU